RNAcentral lists this RNase P RNA (246 nucleotides) under Candidatus Pelagibacter sp. RNAcentral's name for it is "partial RNase P RNA component class A". It matches the Rfam family "Bacterial RNase P class A", at positions 117 to 367 of the family's 367-position model. Rfam says of the family: Ribonuclease P (RNase P) is a ubiquitous endoribonuclease, found in archaea, bacteria and eukarya as well as chloroplasts and mitochondria. The record is from RNAcentral. Lineage: Bacteria; Pseudomonadati; Pseudomonadota; Alphaproteobacteria; Candidatus Pelagibacterales; Candidatus Pelagibacteraceae.
GAAAAUAAACCGCCAUAACAUGGCAAGGGUGAAAAGGUGUGGUAAGAGCACACCGGUUCUAUUGGUAACAAUGAACGCUGGAAAACCCCACUGGGAGCAAGACUAAGUAGAGAUGACAUUGUUGAAAAACUAAAAGCCAUCCUUGGCUAGUCAUCAGGGUUAGUUGCUUGAGCUUAAGAGUGAUCUUAAGCCUAGACAAAUGAUAGGUUUAAAUGACAGAACCCGGCUUAUAGUUUAUCUGGCAAA